Molecule: ribosomal RNA, 252 nt
Filed under: uncultured bacterium
Lineage: Bacteria
Description: partial 16S ribosomal RNA
Rfam family: Bacterial small subunit ribosomal RNA
Source: RNAcentral
UACGGAGGAUCCAAGCGUUAUCCGGAUUUAUUGGGUUUAAAGGGUGCGUAGGCGGAUUGAUAAGUUAGAGGUGAAAUGUCCGAGCUCAACCGUAGUAAGCCUUUGAAACUGGGAAACUUGAGUGCAGGAGAGGAGAGUGGAAUUCCUAGUGUAGCGGUGAAAUGCGUAGAGAUUAGGAAGAACACCAGUGGCGAAGGCGGCUUCCUGGUCUGCAACUGACACUGAGGCGCGAAAGCGUGGGGAGCAAACAGG